GCAUGGUGUUGGCUACCCACCCCCUUGUGUGCUGUGCUGGCCAUCAGAGGUGCUACUCGUUAACAGCACUUGCCCCUACAGCCCGUUAAUGCUGCACGGGGGAUCUUUGUCUUUGGUGCAGCGAACACACUGACAGGAUUCUUGUGAGCUCUUGUGCUUGGGUUGGGUUUCGGUGAACGUUUAGGCUGGUACGAGUGGCCAGUUGGUGAUAGUUAUGGUCAGCGCUGGUGGGUCAGGGUUGACUGUAGGCCUGAAGUGUUAGGGUUAGGAUCGGUGAUGGUUGGGCAGGGUUUAGGGUAAUUUUCAUGGUUGGGUUAGUUGGUUAGGGUAUAGGGUAAGGCGGGUAACUAGGGGUUGAUUGGUUGAGGUUUAGGGUUAGUCAUAGUAGCUGGUUAGGAUUAGGCAGAGUACUAAUGGCUGGCUGGUUAUGGAUUACAGUUAUUCCUCGGGGCUGGUUAGGGUUAGGGCUAGGACCCGUGGCUAGUUGAUUAGACAUAGGAUUAGUAAUGGUUGGUUAAGGUUUCGAGGUAGCCCUAGGGGCUGGCUAGGGUGAGUACUAAUGGUUAUUUGGUAAGGCUGAGGAUUAGUGGCAGUUGCUUAAGGUUUAGAGUAUAGAUAGUAUUAGUGGCUAGUUGAUUAGACAUAGGAUUAGUGGGAGUUGCUUAAGGUUUAGAGUAUAGAUAGUAUUAGUGCCUAGUUGAUUAGACAUAGGAUUAGUGGGAGUUGCUUAAGGUUUAGAGUAUAGAUAGUAUUAGUGCCUAGUUGAUUAGACAUAGGAUUAGUGGGAGUUGCUUAAGGUUUAGAGUAUAUAUAGUAUUAGUGCCUAGUUGAUUAGACAUAGUAUUAGUGAUGGUUGCUUAAGGUUUAGAGUAUAGAUAGUAUUAGUGCCUAGUUGAUUAGACAUAGGAUUAGUGGCGGUUGCUUUAGGUUUAGAGUAUAGAUAGUAUUAGUGCCUAGUUGAUUAGACAUAGUAUUAGUGAUGGUUGCUUAAGGUUUAGAGUAUAGAUAGUAUUAGUGCCUAGUUGAUUAGCCAUAGGAUUAGUGGGAGUUGCUUAAGGUUUAGAGUAUAGAUAGUAUUAGUGCCUAGUUGAUUAGACAUAGGAUUAGUGGCGGUUGCUUAAGGUUUAGAGUAUAGAUAGUAUUAGUGCCUAGUUGAUUAGACAUAGGAUUAGUGAUGGUUGCUUAAGGUUUUGAGUAUAGAUAGUAUUAGUGCCUAGUUGAUUAGACAUAGUAUUAGUGAUGGUUGCUUAAGGUUUAGAGUAUAGAUAGUAUUAGUGCCUAGUUGAUUAGACAUAGUAUUAGUGAUGGUUGCUUAAGGUUUUGAGUAUAGAUAGUAUUAGUGCCUAGUUGAUUAGACAUAGUAUUAGUGGCGGUUGCUUAAGGUUUUGAGUAUAGAUAGUAUUAGUGCCUAGUUGAUUAGACAUAGUAUUAGUGGCGGUUGCUUAAGGUUUAGAGUAUAGAUAGUCUUAGUGCCUAGUUGAUUAGACAUAGGAUUAGUAGGAGUUGCUUAAGGUUUAGAGUAUAGAUAGUAUUAGUGCCUAGUUGAUU
Non-coding RNA from Petromyzon marinus (sea lamprey), 1548 nucleotides. The record is from RefSeq and is a predicted model, not a curated record. Lineage: Eukaryota; Metazoa; Chordata; Hyperoartia; Petromyzontiformes; Petromyzontidae.